GUCUCUUUGAAUAUAUUAAUAAUAAAGAGUCGAACCUGCCCAGUGAGAUUUUAACGGCCGCGGUACUCUGACCGUGCGAAGGUAGCAUAAUCAUUUGCCUUAUAAUUGAAGGCUUGUAUGAAUGGUUUGACGAAGGCAUAACUGUCUCCUUUCCAAUAAUUAGAAUUUGAUCUACAGGUGAAGAAGCCUGUUUUUAUUACUGAAAGACGAGAAGACCCUGUCGAGCUUUAGAAAAAAACAGAAUAUAAGAUAUAAUAAUAAAUAUUAAAUUGUCAUUUAUUCAUUAGUUGGGGCGACUUGGGAACAAAAAAAGCUUCCCUAAAUUAUUAUACAUAUAGGUCUAGAUCCAGAACUAGUCUGAUUAAAAGAAUUAGUUACCGCAGGGAUAACAGCAUAAUCUCUUUUGAGAGAUCUAAUCGAAAAAGGGGGUUGUGACCUCGAUGUUGGACUAGGUUAUCCUGAAGGUGCAGAAGCCUUCGAUGGUUGGUCUGUUCGACCAUAAAAAUCCUACA
Molecule: ribosomal RNA, 512 nt
Filed under: Cerithiidae sp. EES-2013b
Lineage: Eukaryota; Metazoa; Mollusca; Gastropoda; Cerithiidae
Description: partial 16S ribosomal RNA
Rfam family: Bacterial large subunit ribosomal RNA
Source: RNAcentral